AGCGAACGCUGGCGGCAGGCCUAACACAUGCAAGUCGAACGAACCUUUCGGGGUUUGUGGCGGACGGGUUAGUAACCCGUCGGAACGUUCCCUUAGGUUUGGACUAACUCAGGGAAACUUGUGCUAUCACCGAAUGUGCCCUUCGGGGGGAAGAUUAAUUGCCCUUAGUGCGGCACGGGUCUGAUUAGCUAGUUGUUUCAGGUAAUGGCACAUCAAGGCGGCGUUCAGUAGUUGGUCAGUGAGGAUCGUCCGCCACAUUGGGAGUGAGACACGGCACAAAAUCCUACGGAAGGCAGGAGUGGGGAAUGUUGCGAAACGGGGGAAAGGCUGACGCAGCCAUGCCGGGAGAAUGAUGAAAGUCGUAGGAUUGAAAUGUGCUAUCACCUGUGAAGAUAAUGACGGUACCCGGUGAAAAAGCCCCGGCUAACUACGUG
Molecule: ribosomal RNA, 434 nt
Filed under: uncultured bacterium
Lineage: Bacteria
Description: partial 16S ribosomal RNA
Rfam family: Bacterial small subunit ribosomal RNA
Source: RNAcentral